AGGUCUCGGUUGGCAAAUGCUGGUUUUGAAACCCGGUUAAAGACGUUCGAGUCGUCUAGGGAUCUG
RNAcentral lists this transfer RNA (66 nucleotides) under Solecurtus divaricatus (divaricate short razor). RNAcentral's name for it is "tRNA-Ser". Lineage: Eukaryota; Metazoa; Mollusca; Bivalvia; Cardiida; Solecurtidae. The record is from RNAcentral.